Molecule: ribosomal RNA, 253 nt
Filed under: uncultured bacterium
Lineage: Bacteria
Description: partial 16S ribosomal RNA
Rfam family: Bacterial small subunit ribosomal RNA
Source: RNAcentral
UACGUAGGGUGCAAGCGUUGUCCGGAAUUAUUGGGCGUAAAGAGCUCGUAGGCGGUUUGUCGCGUCUGCUGUGAAAACCCGAGGCUCAACCUCGGGCCUGCAGUGGGUACGGGCAGACUAGAGUGCGGUAGGGGAGAUUGGAAUUCCUGGUGUAGCGGUGGAAUGCGCAGAUAUCAGGAGGAACACCGAUGGCGAAGGCAGAUCUCUGGGCCGUAACUGACGCUGAGGCACGAAGGCCAGGGGAGCAAACGGG